CAAUAGCGUAUAUUAAAGUUGUUGCAGUUAAAACGCUCGUAGUCGGAUUUCGGGGCGGGGCCGCCGGUCUGCCGAUGGGUAUGCACUGGCGGUCGCGUCCUUCCUUCCGGAGACUGGCCCUACUCUUAACUGAGCGGGGUCGGGAGACGGAUCGUUUACUUUGAAAAAAUCAGAGUGUUUCAAGCAGGCAGCUCGCUCUUGCAUGGAUUAGCAUGGGAUAAUGAAAUAGGACUUUGGUGCUAUUUUGUUGGUUUCGAACACCGAAGUAAUGAUUAACAGGGACAGUCAGGGGCACUCGUAUUCCGCCGAGAGAGGUGAAAUUCUCAGACCAGCGGAAGACGAACCACUGCGAAAGCAUUUGCCAGGGAUGUUUUCACUGA
RNAcentral lists this ribosomal RNA (380 nucleotides) under uncultured eukaryote. Its description in RNAcentral is "partial 18S ribosomal RNA". It matches the Rfam family "Eukaryotic small subunit ribosomal RNA", at positions 592 to 976 of the family's 1831-position model. The record is from RNAcentral.